Molecule: ribosomal RNA, 920 nt
Filed under: Enterococcus faecium
Lineage: Bacteria; Bacillati; Bacillota; Bacilli; Lactobacillales; Enterococcaceae
Description: bacterial SSU rRNA
Rfam family: Bacterial small subunit ribosomal RNA
Source: RNAcentral
AAAAAGAGGAGUGGCGAACGGGUGAGUAACACGUGGGUAACCUGCCCAUCAGAAGGGGAUAACACUUGGAAACAGGUGCUAAUACCGUAUAACAAUCGAAACCGCAUGGUUUUGAUUUGAAAGGCGCUUUCGGGUGUCGCUGAUGGAUGGACCCGCGGUGCAUUAGCUAGUUGGUGAGGUAACGGCUCACCAAGGCCACGAUGCAUAGCCGACCUGAGAGGGUGAUCGGCCACAUUGGGACUGAGACACGGCCCAAACUCCUACGGGAGGCAGCAGUAGGGAAUCUUCGGCAAUGGACGAAAGUCUGACCGAGCAACGCCGCGUGAGUGAAGAAGGUUUUCGGAUCGUAAAACUCUGUUGUUAGAGAAGAACAAGGAUGAGAGUAACUGUUCAUCCCUUGACGGUAUCUAACCAGAAAGCCACGGCUAACUACGUGCCAGCAGCCGCGGUAAUACGUAGGUGGCAAGCGUUGUCCGGAUUUAUUGGGCGUAAAGCGAGCGCAGGCGGUUUCUUAAGUCUGAUGUGAAAGCCCCCGGCUCAACCGGGGAGGGUCAUUGGAAACUGGGAGACUUGAGUGCAGAAGAGGAGAGUGGAAUUCCAUGUGUAGCGGUGAAAUGCGUAGAUAUAUGGAGGAACACCAGUGGCGAAGGCGGCUCUCUGGUCUGUAACUGACGCUGAGGCUCGAAAGCGUGGGGAGCAAACAGGAUUAGAUACCCUGGUAGUCCACGCCGUAAACGAUGAGUGCUAAGUGUUGGAGGGUUUCCGCCCUUCAGUGCUGCAGCUAACGCAUUAAGCACUCCGCCUGGGGAGUACGACCGCAAGGUUGAAACUCAAAGGAAUUGACGGGGGGCCCGCACAAGCGGUGGAGCAUGUGGUUUAAUUCGAAGCAACGCGAAAGAACCUUACCAGGUCUUGGACAG